GACGAACCGUCCAAACGUUAUUCGGUAUCACUGGGCUUAAAGAGUUCGUAGGCGGCUCCGUAGGUGAGGUGUGAAAUCCCUCGGCUUAACCGAGGAAUUGCGCUUCAAACCGUGGAGCUAGAGGUAGACAGGGGUAAGCGGAACAGAUGGUGGAGCGGUGAAAUGCGUUGAUAUCAUCUGGAACACCGGUGGCGAAAGCGGCUUACUGGGUCUUUACUGACGCUGAGGAACGAAAGCUAGGGUAGCGAACGGG
This 253-nucleotide ribosomal RNA is filed under the name uncultured bacterium. Its description in RNAcentral is "partial 16S ribosomal RNA". It matches the Rfam family "Bacterial small subunit ribosomal RNA", at positions 524 to 776 of the family's 1533-position model. The record is from RNAcentral.